RNAcentral lists this ribosomal RNA (253 nucleotides) under uncultured bacterium. Its description in RNAcentral is "partial 16S ribosomal RNA". It matches the Rfam family "Bacterial small subunit ribosomal RNA", at positions 524 to 776 of the family's 1533-position model. The record is from RNAcentral.
UACGUAGGGUGCGAGCGUUGUCCGGAAUUAUUGGGCGUAAAGGGCUCGUAGGUGGCUUGUCGCGUCUGCCGUGAAAGCCCGUGGCUUAACUACGGGUCUGCGGUGGAUACGGGCAGGCUAGAGGCUGGUAGGGGCAAGCGGAAUUCCUGGUGUAGCGGUGAAAUGCGCAGAUAUCAGGAGGAACACCGGUGGCGAAGGCGGCUUGCUGGGCCAGUUCUGACGCUGAGGAGCGAAAGCGUGGGGAGCGAACAGG